GUGAUCGCCCAUUGCCACUUCCGGGAUAACCUUGGGAAACUUGGGUCUAAUUCCCGGGAUUAGGACAACCUGGUUUAANGCCAGCAUUUGGGAAAGUUUUUCCGGGUGCAAGAUGAGCUCCGGGCCUAUCCAGCUUUCUUGUGGGGUUAAUGGCCUGACCAAGGCGUUCGACGGGUACCGGNCCCUGAGAAGGGUGUACGGCCACAAUUGGGACUGUAGAUACGGCCCAGACUCCUACGGGAGGCACANUGGGGAAUAUUGCACAAUGGGCGGAAGCCUGAUGCAGCGACGCCGCUGGGGGAUGAAGGCCUUCGGGUUGUAAACUCCUGUCGACAGGGACGAAGCGUAAGUGACGGUACCUGUAUAAGAAGCACCGGCUAACUACGUGCCAGCACCGCGGUAAUACGUAGGGUGCGAGCGUUGUCCGGAAUUACUGGGCGUAAAGAGCUCGUAGGUGGUUUGUCGCGUCGUCUGUGAAAUUCCGGGGCUUAACUCCGGGCGUGCAGGCGAUACGGGCUGACUUGAGUGCUGUAGGGGAGACUGGAAUUCCUGGUGUACGGUGAAAUGCGCAGAUAUCAGGAGGAACACCGAUGGCGAAGGCAGGUCUCUGGGCAGUAACUGACGCUGAGGAGCGAAAGCAUGGGUAGCGAACAGGAUUAGAUACCCUGGUAGUCCAUGCCGUAAACGGCUGGGCGCUAGGUGUAGGGGGCUUCCACGUCUUCUGUGCCGUAGCUACGCAUUAAGCGCCCCGCUAAGGGGAUACGCCGCAAGGCUA
RNAcentral lists this ribosomal RNA (775 nucleotides) under uncultured Actinomycetes bacterium. RNAcentral describes it as "bacterial SSU rRNA". It matches the Rfam family "Bacterial small subunit ribosomal RNA", at positions 121 to 896 of the family's 1533-position model. Lineage: Bacteria; Bacillati; Actinomycetota; Actinomycetes. The record is from RNAcentral.